Molecule: ribosomal RNA, 110 nt
Filed under: uncultured bacterium
Lineage: Bacteria
Description: partial 16S ribosomal RNA
Rfam family: Bacterial small subunit ribosomal RNA
Source: RNAcentral
CCCGGGUCUUGUACACACCGCCCGUCACACCACGAGAGUUUACAACACCCGAAGUCGGUGGGGUAACCGCAAGGAGCCAGCCGCCGAAGGUGGGAUAGAUGAUUGGGGUG